Molecule: ribosomal RNA, 378 nt
Filed under: uncultured Prevotella sp.
Lineage: Bacteria; Pseudomonadati; Bacteroidota; Bacteroidia; Bacteroidales; Prevotellaceae
Description: bacterial SSU rRNA
Rfam family: Bacterial small subunit ribosomal RNA
Source: RNAcentral
GGCUUAACACAUGCAAGUCGAGGGGUAACGAGAGGAAAGCUUGCUUUCCUUGUCGACGACCGGCGCACGGGUGAGUAACGCGUAUCCAACCUGCCCCCAACUAAGGAAUAACCUUGCGAAAGUAAGACUAAUACCUUAUAAUUUCCUCAGAUGCCAUCUGACGAGGAAUAAAGAUUUAUCGGUUGUGGAUGGGGAUGCGUCUGAUUAGCUUGUUGGCGGGGUAACGGCCCACCAAGGCAACGAUCAGUAGGGGUUCUGAGAGGAAGGUCCCCCACAUUGGAACUGAGACACGGUCCAAACUCCUACGGGAGGCAGCAGUGAGGAAUAUUGGUCAAUGGGCGGAAGCCUGAACCAGCCAAGUAGCGUGAAGGAUGACGG